GACAGUGUGAUCUGCCUCCAAGCCCCUAUAAACCGACCGAUUGCUCACCCCUAGGGCCAUGGAUGGCUUCCGCAAAGGUUUUCAAGUUCCUGCAGUACACAGGCAUGACAUAAUUGCAAGUUUGCAACCAUGUAUAUUUGAGGAAGAAGAGCAAGAAGUUCACAUGGAAAGACACAUAGAGAGGAAGCAAGGCAUACAGCUAAUGAUAUGGUCCAAAUAUGAAGUAUUUAGUUCAACACUUGGAAAUAUAACUUAAGUUCUCUCAAGUGCCAAUACCACGCGGCAGUGUGAUGAAGCCAAAAAACGCAACUUCUCCAAGUUCACAUUAAUGCAAUUUAUACAGGGAAGAAAGGGCAUCACAGCCUACACUCUUGAGUAGCAAUGAAUAUGGCGUAGUAGCAAUAGCAAUGGAGGCAGACAAAAUCAACAAUGCUGCACUGCUGGUGCAUAAAGUGGUGAAGGCACUGAGUUUGCAAGGUUACUUGACGGUGGCAGGCACACAUUGUAAGUGGGUUGGAUUGAUGCCGCUUUAUGAGAUUUUUAAUGUGAUUCCUUCUAGUCAGCUAUAGCUUUUAAUAACAAUCUAAGCAGCAAUCAUGUAGCUUUUGAAGUUUUUCUUUUUCGUUCCACUUGGUCCUUAAUAAAUAUGUUCUCUGGUCCGGGUCCAUUGAAUCUGAGUUUGUCUUCUCUCGUUAUUUCUAGUAAUGCAGGUUGAAAGCAUGCAGAUUUUCAAAAGCAUGGGCUCCUUUGGUGGGUAUCUCUCUUUUACACUCAUACUAUAUUUGUAGUUUUAGUUUAACUACCCAAAGUGAAAUUCCGUCCCCCAUUUCACAAAUAAUCAUGACAAUAUGCGGAUAUAAUUCCUUACCCAAUACUAAUUAUAAAUAGGCCGUGUUAAAAUCUCUACUCUUUUCAAUAAAAUCAAAUAUUGCAGAUCAUCGUAUUUCUGCCAAAAAUUGAAUCCUUUUUGUCCAACCGAAUAACACAAACGAAAUAAAUAAAAAAAAUAUCACAUAAAAAAGAAAAUAGAAACAGAUAAAACAGAUUAUAGAUUUGGAUAUACCAUAGCUAUGAAGGGUUUGAUCG
RNAcentral lists this unclassified non-coding RNA (1086 nucleotides) under Hevea brasiliensis (rubber tree). The record is from RNAcentral. Lineage: Eukaryota; Viridiplantae; Streptophyta; Magnoliopsida; Malpighiales; Euphorbiaceae.